RNAcentral lists this ribosomal RNA (497 nucleotides) under uncultured bacterium. RNAcentral describes it as "partial 16S ribosomal RNA". It matches the Rfam family "Bacterial small subunit ribosomal RNA", at positions 28 to 507 of the family's 1533-position model. The record is from RNAcentral.
GACGAACGCUGGCGGCGUGCCUAAUACAUGCCAGUAGAACGCUGAAGAGAGGAGCUUGCUCUUCUUGGAUGAGUUGCGAACGGGUGAGUAACGCGUAGGUAACCUGCCUUGUAGCGGGGGAUAACUAUUGGAGACGAUAGCUAAUACCGCAUAACAAUGGAUGACCCAUGUCAUUUAUUUGAAAGGGGCAAAUGCUCCACUACAAGAUGGACCUGCGUUGUAUUAGCUAGUAGGUGAGGUAACGGCUCACCUAGGCGACGAUACAUAGCCGACCUGAGAGGGUGAUCGGCCACACUGGGACUGAGACACGGCCCAGACUCCUACGGGAGGCAGCAGUAGGGAAUCUUCGGCAAUGGGGGCAACCCUGACCGAGCAACGCCGCGUGAGUGAAGAAGGUUUUCGGAUCGUAAAGCUCUGUUGUAAGUCAAGAACGAGUGUGAGAGUGGAAAGUUCACACUGUGACGGUAGCUUACCAGAAAGGGACGGCUAACUACGUG